Molecule: ribosomal RNA, 537 nt
Filed under: uncultured bacterium
Lineage: Bacteria
Description: bacterial SSU rRNA
Rfam family: Bacterial small subunit ribosomal RNA
Source: RNAcentral
CCCUAGAUCCAGCCAUGCCGCGUGCAGGAUGAAGGCCUUCGGGUUGUAAACUGCUUUUGUACGGAACGAAAAGACUCUGGUUAAUACCUGGGGUCCAUGACGGUACCGUAAGAAUAAGCACCGGCUAACUACGUGCCAGCAGCCGCGGUAAUACGUAGGGUGCAAGCGUUAAUCGGAAUUACUGGGCGUAAAGCGUGCGCAGGCGGUGAUGUAAGACAGAGGUGAAAUCCCCCGGGGCUCAACCGUGGGAACUGCCUUUUGUGACUGCAUCGCUGGAGUGCGGCAGAGGGGGAUGGAAUUCCGCGUGUAGCAGUGAAAUGCGUAGAUAUGCGGAGGAACACCGAUGGCGAAGGCAAUCCCCUGGGCCUGCACUGACGCUCAUGCACGAAAGCGUGGGGAGCAAACAGGAUUAGAUACCCUGGUAGUCCACGCCCUAAACGAUGUCAACUGGUUGUUGGGUUUUAAUUAACUCAGUAACGAAGCUAACGCGUGAAGUUGACCGCCUGGGGAGUACGGCCGCAAGGUUGAAACUCAAAG